RNAcentral lists this ribosomal RNA (519 nucleotides) under Fusarium solani. RNAcentral's name for it is "eukaryotic LSU rRNA". The stretch from base 143 to 296 matches the Rfam family "5.8S ribosomal RNA". The record is from RNAcentral. Lineage: Eukaryota; Fungi; Ascomycota; Sordariomycetes; Hypocreales; Nectriaceae.
UAACACUCAUCAACCCUGUGACAUACCUAUAACGUUGCCUCGGCGGGAACAGACGGCCCCGUAACACGGGCCGCCCCCGCCAGAGGACCCCCUAACUCUGUUUCUAUAAUGUUUCUUCUGAGUAAACAAGCAAAUAAAUUAAAACUUUCAACAACGGAUCUCUUGGCUCUGGCAUCGAUGAAGAACGCAGCGAAAUGCGAUAAGUAAUGUGAAUUGCAGAAUUCAGUGAAUCAUCGAAUCUUUGAACGCACAUUGCGCCCGCCAGUAUUCUGGCGGGCAUGCCUGUUCGAGCGUCAUUACAACCCUCAGGCCCCCGGGCCUGGCGUUGGGGAUCGGCGGAAGCCCCCUGCGGGCACAACGCCGUCCCCCAAAUACAGUGGCGGUCCCGCCGCAGCUUCCAUUGCGUAGUAGCUAACACCUCGCAACUGGAGAGCGGCGCGGCCACGCCGUAAAACACCCAACUUCUGAAUGUUGACCUCGAAUCAGGUAGGAAUACCCGCUGAACUUAAGCAUAUCAAA